This 7698-nucleotide long non-coding RNA is filed under the name Equus asinus (donkey). RNAcentral describes it as "lncRNA (ENSEASG00005025233.1)". Lineage: Eukaryota; Metazoa; Chordata; Mammalia; Perissodactyla; Equidae. The record is from RNAcentral.
GCGAAAACGAAAGUGCUGGAAGGGUCACGGGCUUCCCAGAGUCCUGGCCCAUUAACAGCUGAAGGCCCAGGCCAGGGUCCCCUGCAUCUGAUAAGCCCAAGCUGGCCUCGGCCUGCCUGGACUGCCGGAGAGCCCGGGGUCUUCUGGGAGAGCCCCAACCCGGGCAGGGGAGUGCAGGCAAGCAAACCGAGCUGGUGACUGCCGGAGUUCACAUACAUUUAUUCAAUUGACACCAACGAGGAGUGGGGGGAGACAUUUUUCUUUUCUUCCACACAAACCAUCAGACGAUUUCGGAGUCUCCCCACAGUAGAGAAGUCUAAAUCAAUGCACACCCAGUGGACAGAGAACGCAGAUAGCAGCCCGCUGUACAGAUAUUUACAAAUAAUUACAGGACCCCCUGCCACAGGAUGUGCCCUCACCCACCCCACCCCCACCUCUCCAGCCCCUGACCCAGACCUCCUCUCCCACCCAAACCUCAUUGCUUUUAGCUACAAUAAAUAUCCCAGGGCCUGGGACAGAGCAGAGCACUAAGAGGACUGCUGGCCCUGGGUGGCUGGACCCAGCCGGCCACGGGAAAGGGGAAAAGUUCCUUCAAAAGCACCCCAACACAAAAGAGGGAGGAUGUUUCUCGGCGGGGUGGGACUCCGCAUGGAUUGUGGAGACCCCUCGCUUCACCUCUUCGUUCAGCUUCGCCUGUGUAGACACUCCUUUAUAGGCUUCAGAGAGAAGGAACCUCCUUGGAGAACAGCAAGGAAAAAAAGUUGAAUUCUUCUUUUGAGCACAAAGCGGAUAAUAGAUGUCUUUAAAUUAUAAUAUUGGACAAGCAGGGCCUCAAAGCCGAGGAAGGAGUGAGCGGGAUGCAGAAAGAGAGACCCCUCUGCGCAGUUGGUGCUUCUGGCGGGACCCGCGGGGCCUGGGCAGGCUUCUCUCCAGGACAGCAAUUCUUCCGGGGCUGCCGGGAGAAAGCGAAGACUCCCCCCGCCCCCGUUAUACUGCUCAAAUUGGAACCGGAUCGUGGCUUGCGAACUCGUCGCGUAGACCCGGGCCUCUCCCUGAGCGAUGGAGCCCGCUUCGUCCCAACUGUCGGCGAGAUUCUGAGCGUGGAGCCUGAAGUGCCAAGUCACGCGCGCCGGCCCAAGGUCUGGCGACUCUUCAUAAAUAGACUCCCUGAGUUCCUCUGGGACCGCAGGAGCUCCCGGGAGAGGCUUAGGAGUGCGGGCCUAACUGGCCCUGAGCCGACGCGGUCAGAAGUGGCAGCCACUGAGACCGGCGACUUUGCCGGCAAACGGAGGCCCUGAGGACAGGAGCGCGUCCCCGGGGUGCGAGAGGCGGAUGUGGCCGGCCACUGGAGCCAGGGCUGGGGCAGUCAGCAUGGCCAAGACCUGGGCUUGACCGCCAGGACCCGCCGCCGCCGCGAACGGCGAUCCCGGGGAGCCCUCGCCUCCGCCCGGGGGUGCUGCCCCGCCGCCGCCGUGGCCCAUGAUGUGGUCUAUGGAGAAGGAAGGCCUCUGGCCGGCCCCGGCGCCCCCGCCGCCCGCACCACCGCCCGCGUCCGUCUUGAGGCCCUGGCGCAGGAGUGCGGUGGACAGACCAGCCGCGGUGCCGGCUGCGGGAGGGCUCAGCGACGCGGGGUAGAAGGCUUUGGCGCAGCCCAGCUCCGCGCCCAGGAAGGCGGGCAGGCCUGCGGGGCCCGGGCCCGACCCUGUGCCCGGGGCAGGCGCAGGGGCCGGAGCCGAGGCUGCGCCUGCGAACACCGAGGCCGUCGGAGGUCCGGGUGGAGGCGCGGCGGCACGGCCUGGGGGUACCGACAGCUGGCAAGGAGCGGCGGCGGCGGCGAAAGCGAAGGCGUGCGGGUGUGGAUGCGGAUGCGGGGCCGGGCCCGGCGGCGGUGCGCCGUAGGCCGGGAGAGCCAACCCGUAGCCAUAGCCGUAGGCUCCGUAAGCGGCGAAACCCGGCAGAAAGGCGCCGGGGUCCCCCGCCGCCGCAGCCCCGCCACGCAGCAGCAGCUCCGGGUGAGGGUGCGUGUGUGGAUGCGGCGGCGGCAGCGGCUGCCGCUUGAAGCGCUUACGGCGCCGCAGGAAGCUGCCGUUGUCGAACAUGUCGGCCGACUCCGGGUCCAGCGUCCAGUAGUUGCCCUUGCCCGGGUUGCCCGGCUCGCGGGGAAUCUUGACGAAGCAGUCGUUGAGCGAGAGGUUGUGGCGGAUGCUGUUCUGCCAGGCGGGGAACUUCUCCCGGUAGUAGGGGAAGCGGCCGCUGAUGAACUCGCAGAUUUCACUCAGCGUCAGGCGCUUCUUGGGGCUCUGCAGGAUGGCCAUGGUGAUGAGCGCGAUGUACGAGUAGGGAGGCUUCACCAGCGGGCUCCGCGUCGCCGCGCCCCCCGACGGCGGUCCCGGCCCGGGGGCCCCGCCGCGCCCCGGGCCGCCGCCGCGCCUGGCCGGGGCUUCCCGCUGCGGCCGCCGCCCCCCGGGGCGCUAGAGCGCGGGGCUCGCCGUCCGAGCAGCCGCCCGACUCCUCGUCCUCAGCUGCGUCCGCCUCGGCUUCCUCCGAGGGAGGCUCGGGGCCGUGCGGGAGCACGUCCCGGGGGGCGCGGGGCCCGGAGCGGGCAGGGAGCUCCCCCCCACCGCUGCCGCCGCCGCCGCCGCCGCCCACUACGUCUAUGUCUGCGUCGGCCUCGGACAGCGCGGCCGGGGAGCUCUCGGAGGACAUGAUCUCGCAGCAGCAGCUGCCCAGGGUCAUGGUGCCGCCGCCGCCGCCGCUCUCCGGCUCCGCUCCGGCCGCGGCUCGGGCUCCGCCGCGCUGCCUCUGGGGCGAGUGUGUUUUGCGCGCGGGCGGGGAGGGGGCGGGGGACUGAGGCGGACAGGGAGGGGUGUCCCCCAGCUUCGCAGCGCCCCCUCGUGGCCCGACUCGGCCGCUCUCACCUCUCGGGGAGUACCCGACCCGCGGCUCUCUCCGCUGCCCCGGGAGCCCGAGCGGGGGCCUGCACGCCGGGGCGCGGGCGGAAGGAGCUGAGGCCUCCCCUCACCCUGGCCGGUCUCGGCCCCAGUCCCCCCGGGGCGGGGGGGGGUCCGGGUAUUAGUCCCUCCCGCCCAGCGGCUGCCCAAGGCGGAAGAGCGCGAGCCCGGGGCGGAGCUCCCUCAGCGGGGUGGGGCGGGGCGGGAGGGGGCGGGCGGAGUGUCUCCGCGGAGGGGCCCGGCGGGAACAAACAGCCGCCGCGGCGGGAGCUCGGCUCCGGUGCCGGAGGCGAGUCCUCCUCUUCCCCGCAGAUCCCGCAAACCUUUCGCUCCCUGGAGCCGCUGCCUUCAGUGCGUUCGGCCCCUGGAUGUUAAGGUUCACGCGGGUGCCAGCGGGAGCCGGGAGAAGGAGCGACAGCGCCCACCCAUCGUCGCCCCAAGGCAGAGACAGCGCCCGGGCCACCAAGGCCGAAGCGCAGUCGGAGCUGGAGCGGGAGCCUGAGACGCCCAGACCAGCGCCGCCCGAGGAGAGCGGGGCCCGCCGCCGCCCGAGCGGCUUCCGGCCCAAGGGGAGACGCACUUGAGUGAUCGCGAGGAGCGAACUUGGCACUCUCAGCCUCGGGCCUCGGAGAGGCUCUACAGACGGACAGCAAGGACCCCCACGGAGACCUCCAGUGAACCCUGACCUUAGCCCCGGGCCAGUGUUGCCUCCAUCUCUCAGCAUCCUGUGCUCACAAGGAAGAUUAGCCCUGAGCUAACUACUGCCAAUCUGCCUCUUUUUGCUGAGGAAGACUGGCCCUGAGCUAACAUCCGUGCCCAUCUUCCUAUACUUUAUACGUGGGACGCCUACCACAGCAUGGCUUGCCAAGCAGUGUCAUGUCUGCGCCUGGGAUCCGAACCGGCGAACCCCAGGCCACUGACGCAGAACAUUCGCACUUAACUGCUGCACCACCGGGCCAGCCCUCCACUGUGUUUUUUUAAGGGGGAAAAUAAUGUAUAUUUGUUUUGGUUUGUAUAUGCAACAAAAAUAUGUAGGAGGAUGAAUAAAAACUGAACAACUGAUUAUCUGUUGAGGCAAAUGGGGAACAAAAAUGGAGGUGAGACUUUUCACUGAAUACUUUUUUUAUAUGGAAUCAUUCCAAUAAAUAAGGCUGAGUGUGCAGAACUGAAGAGUAAUGAAGGCCAUUACUACAUGCUGGGCACUUCCUAUGGGCUCCAACAUGAACUGUGGUUGGUGGCUGUAGUUUUGAAGGUGGGACGUGAAAGCAAGACUUACUGGGUGCCUCUGAGCAUUGGCCUGCCACCCGUCAGGCAGGGAGGUAGGUGGGUCUGGUAGCUAGGACCCCAGACUUUCUACCUUGCCCACCUUCUCUUCUGUCCCCAUCCUUCUGUCUUUGCCUCCUCUCUUGGUCCCACCGAAAUUGCUCUGGAAGUAGUCAGACUUUUUCAGUUUGACAAGCUAGACAAGGAUUAGGAUGGAGGAAAGGGUUUUAUAGAAACUAAAAUAGCAGGCUCUCCCCUCCCUUCCUUGAAAACCCCAAACCAGAGCUCACCUCCUCCAGGAAGCCUUCCUUGUGAGGCCCACCAAGCCCCAACCCCUCCACAUUGCAGGGAGAUGGUCUGAUGCCCAAGGUGGGGCCUGCGUCCUCCUCAAGCCAGGCCUAGGCCUCUUGUCUCUAACUCUCCUCCACCCCUUAAACCUCAACUCCAGCCUCCAGACAAGGGGUAUCUCAGGCCAAAGCCUGGCAUGCCCGCCCUGGCCAGGCUGCCCAGGGAGGGAUACAGUGGACAGAGAAGGGGCAGGGCCUGUCCUGGGAAGCCCACAGCCAGGCAGGGGAGAAUAUCCUCCCCCAGCAUCACUACGGCUGUAGCAGUUACAAAGGCCGUCCCACCCAGGCAGAGAGAGCAGGGCACAUUCUCGCUAGUUCAGAGGAGCCUGAGGCUGGGGUCGGGGCAGAGGCUUGAACUGGUGAGUGGCCACAGUGACCUGAGAGCUCCCUGAUCUUGUCAGCACUCUGCACUAUAUUGUCACCCACCAAUAGUUGACUCCUUUGCGCAAGGCCAUCAUCUGAUUCCUCUGAGUCCUCGCUGAGGUGGGGCGCACAGUCACAGAGCCUGGAGAGAGCUGUAAGUUGCUGUGACAGAGGAAGAAGGAAGGCCUUGCCUGAGUGUUAGAGUAGACCUCAGGUUUCCUGACACCCACCCAGCACACUUUCCGCUAUUUCCUUCUUACGGAGUGGAUCAAUUCUCUGCAGCUAGAACCACCUACCACACUCCCAUUCCAAGCCCCUCUAAGUGGGCCACUACCAAGGGCUGCGAAGAAGAAUGGAGGAGGAUGGAAGAUCUGGGAGGGCUUCCCAGGGGAGGUGGGAACUGCAGCCAGCUUUCCUCUUCCACACCAAACAAUUGGGUUCCCCCUGGAGCAAGUGCCUCUCUGCCACCAGAAGCCACCCCAGCCGCAAACAGCGUCCAAAUGGAUCCUGGCUUCAUUCCACUGCUUUCCUGCUCAAAUCAGGUGCAUACAAGGUGGCCAAUAGGUGGCGCUUUUGUCUCCACAAAAUUGGUGAGGGGAGAGGGAGGAGGGGGCAGGAGUACAGGGAAAGGAGGGGAAGAGGGAGCGUGGAAGGGGGAAGAAGUGGAAAACUGGAAAAAAAAAAAAAAGGAAACCAAACCUAUCACUUGGCUUCGAAAAGUACCUUUCAAGAUCAGGACUGUGGGUGUGAUGGAUGGGGCAGGGGAGAAUAUGGUGUGAACUGAGGAAUUUUUUUGGUGCCUGGGGCUUUUGAUCCAAGUUUCCACUGCCACUUGCCUAUUCCACAGAGGCAGAGAAUGACUUUGGAGUCAGGCGGACCUAGAGUCAAGUUCUGAGUGGGUCACUUUGCAGCUUGACCUGGGAUCUUCCGAAGAAGGACCUCACCUGGGCUUAAAACCACGCCAGUCACUACAGCAGAGGGUUCUCCACGUUGUGCAUUUGUCCUUCUGCCUUCCCAGAUGUGCAAAAUUUUCCCCCAAAUUUACCUCGACUGAAACAAAGAAACAAAGCAAGAGAAAGGAAGAUAUGGAAGCAAAGGAUCCAAGACAGGAGAGAGAUGGAGGGAAUUCCAAAAGAAAGAGUGAGUGAAAAUUUCAGGUCCACAUCUGUGCAGCAGACACGGAGAGCAAUCAGCCCAGACCGGAGCUGGAGGACAGCGGGCUCUGGGAGAGAUGCCCCCGGGAAAGGAAAAACACAGCAACCAAAAGCAAUGACAGAUUUCCUGCAUCUACCAAAGUGUCACAAUUCUUGGGGCACUCUACCACACAUAGCUUUCCAGACAAUGGACUCUGUAAGGGCAAGAACAGUCUCAGAAGUGACAUUUCUAGAAUUUCCAUACAGACAUUUCCCACCUCAUCCUGACCUCACUGUUCCAAGAUCCCAGGGACAGAGACCUGCAGGGUGGUGACAAGAAUGGAAUUCAGAGCUCAAGAAGCACUUCCUGGCUUCAGCGGAGGGAGAGGGGUCAUCCCCUUCCCUGGAAAUUUCUUGGAUUAGGAAGGAAUUUAUCAAGAGUUUUCCAGAUGGUGGGGCAGCCUACGGACUCCCCUUUCAGUCAGGAGCCCCUGGUGCUGCUUUUCUCAGAAAUCUCGAAGAACUGUCCUCGGGGCCUGGCAGAGUGCUGCCAGGUGUGUCUGUGUGGAAGGAGAGCUCUCUCCCGGGAAGACACCGAGGGCAGACAGAUCUCAGCACAUGGUGUUUGCCCUCGCCACCCAGAUCAGAAAUGUGGACAUGAUCAUGGGCUCCUCCCUCCCCCAUCACGCCCACAUCCAAGCAGUCUGUGAGUCCUGUCAGUGCCGCGUGGAUUCCAGAUCCAUCUCUCCCUCAGUUCUCCAGGCCUCAGUUUGGUCCACCUCAUUCACCAAGCACUUCUGUGCCAGGCCCUUUGCCAGCACUCAGGGAAAACAGAGAUGAAGAGACUCACAGCCUGGUGGAGAGAUGGACACAGACAAUUACAACUAUGAGAGAGGUGGGCAGAGGGGGCUGCAGAAGCAGAGGGGAAGGAGAUGAUGACACUCGGAGGUCUAGAGACAACCCCUCGCCCCACAACAACGAAGAGGCAACAACCCCUGGCUUAUAGGAGAACAGGUCCCGCCUCAGGACGCUCUUCCUGGCAUUCUGCAGUCUGAGCACAGGCCUUAUGGACAGGACAGUGCAGUCACCACAAACAGCUCACCAAAGAAGCCAAGACACGCGGCUGCAGCAGCGAGGAAUCUAGCACCAAGAGCUGAGGGACCCGCGGCCCGUUGCUCCCUUGAGCCUGGGUUUCCUCACCUGCCAAAUGGGGGCAGUGAUGAACCCUCUCAGCGCUGUUGGGAGAUUCGGAUGGGUCGUGUGUGAAAGUGCCUGGCCCACACUGGCCCUGGGCAAAAGGAGACUUCUUUUCUACUACACACUGGCAUUUCCACUAUUAAAGCAGGAAGGGAAGGGGAGGGGCAGAGCCAGAGACAGGAUUUCAGAGCCUGUGGAUUUUCAACCAGGUGCAGCACACCCUGCAGCUAGACUCACACAGAGCCAGAGGCACCAUCUUCCCCACCCUCCCUUAGGGCUGAAGCCCCCUCCGAAGCCUCUGCCACAGCCUCUGUCUCACACCCUCAGAUGGAGAGUGGCUCUUACUGCCUCCUACGGCAGACUAAGUGCGUGCGUAGAGCCUGGGACAUAGUAUAUGUUGAGUAAACGACACUGAACGUGCAGGUCGGCUGUGCUGAUCCUGGG